GACGAACGCUGGCGGCGUGCCUAAUACAUGCAAGUUGAGCGCUGAAGGUUGGUACUUGUACCAACUGGAUGAGCAGCGAACGGGUGAGUAACGCGUGGGGAAUCUGCCUUUGAGCGGGGGACAACAUUUGGAAACGAAUGCUAAUACCGCAUAAAAACUUUAAACACAAGUUUUAAGUUUGAAAGAUGCAAUUGCAUCACUCAAAGAUGAUCCCGCGUUGUAUUAGCUAGUUGGUGAGGUAAAGGCUCACCAAGGCGAUGAUACAUAGCCGACCUGAGAGGGUGAUCGGCCACAUUGGGACUGAGACACGGCCCAAACUCCUACGGGAGGCAGCAGUAGGGAAUCUUCGGCCAUGGACGAAAGUCUGACCGAGCAACGCCGCGUGAGUGAAGAAGGUUUUCGGAUCGUAAAACUCUGUUGGUAGAGAAGAACGUUGGUGAGAGUGGAAAGCUCAUCAAGUGACGGUAACUACCCAGAAAGGGACGGCUAACUACGUG
RNAcentral lists this ribosomal RNA (497 nucleotides) under uncultured bacterium. Its description in RNAcentral is "partial 16S ribosomal RNA". It matches the Rfam family "Bacterial small subunit ribosomal RNA", at positions 28 to 507 of the family's 1533-position model. The record is from RNAcentral.